UACGUAGGGGGCAAGCGUUGUCCGGAAUCAUUGGGCGUAAAGCGCGCGUAGGCGGCCCGGUAAGUCCGCUGUAAAAGUCCAGGGCUCAACCCUGGAAAGCCGGUGGAUACUGUCGGGCUAGAGUCCGGAAGAGGCGAGUGGAAUUCCUGGUGUAGCGGUGAAAUGCGCAGAUAUCAGGAAGAACACCCGUGGCGAAAGCGGCUCUCUGGAACGGUACUGACGCUGAGACGCGAAAGCGUGGGGAGCGAACAGG
Molecule: ribosomal RNA, 253 nt
Filed under: uncultured bacterium
Lineage: Bacteria
Description: partial 16S ribosomal RNA
Rfam family: Bacterial small subunit ribosomal RNA
Source: RNAcentral